This 395-nucleotide ribosomal RNA is filed under the name uncultured bacterium. Its description in RNAcentral is "partial 16S ribosomal RNA". It matches the Rfam family "Bacterial small subunit ribosomal RNA", at positions 523 to 918 of the family's 1533-position model. The record is from RNAcentral.
AUACGAAGGGUGCAAGCGUUAAUCGGAAUUACUGGGCGUAAAGCGUGCGCAGGCGGUUUUGUAAGACAGUGGUGAAAUCCCCGGGCUCAACCUGGGAACUGCCAUUGUGACUGCAAGGCUGGAGUGCGGCAGAGGGGGAUGGAAUUCCGCGUGUAGCAGUGAAAUGCGUAGAUAUGCGGAGGAACACCGAUGGCGAAGGCAAUCCCCUGGGCCUGCACUGACGCUCAUGCACGAAAGCGUGGGGAGCAAACAGGAUUAGAUACCCUGGUAGUCCACGCCCUAAACGAUGUCAACUGGUUGUUGGGGAUUUAUUUUCUCAGUAACGAAGCUAACGCGUGAAGUUGACCGCCUGGGGAGUACGGCCGCAAGGUUAAAACUCAAAUGAAUUGACGGGG